Long non-coding RNA from Hemiscyllium ocellatum (epaulette shark), 655 nucleotides. RefSeq lists it as uncharacterized. Lineage: Eukaryota; Metazoa; Chordata; Chondrichthyes; Orectolobiformes; Hemiscylliidae. The transcript has 2 exons. The record is from RefSeq and is a predicted model, not a curated record.
GAGGAGGGAGAGGGAGAGAGAGACAGCAUUCUAUGACAUUCCUUAAAGCCGAAGACUUCCUCUGCGCUUCUUGACCGAUGCUGAGAGACUCUUGUGUCGAGUCUGGCUGGAAAAUGCAUUUGGGAAAUAUCACUGCCUUACAAAUAUGCUACAAAUACAACACCCUCCGUCUCCAAUAACCAUCCACAUUCUGUCGGUUACCACUGACCAGAAACUCAGCUGGGAAUCCUGCAGCGAGUGACUCCUGACUCCCCAAAGCCUGUCCACCAUCAAUGAGGCACAAAGUCAGGAGUGUGCGGGAAUACUCCCCCACAUGUCCCUGGAUGGGGGCAGCUCCGGCAAUACUCGAGAAGCUCGACACCGUCCAGGCACAAAGCAACCCCCCCGCUUCGUUACAUCAACAAACAUCCCCUCCCUCCAACACCGACGCUUAGUAGCAGCAGUGUGUACCGUCUACAGGAAUUCACCAAAGACCCUCAGACAGCACCUUCCAAACCCAUGACCACUUCCAUCGAGAAGGACAAGGGGCAGCAGAUACAUAGGAACGCCAACCCCUGCAGGCUCCCGGCCGAGCCCCUCACCAGAAGAGACGCAGAAAAGGUUUGACAAGACAUUUCUGUGCCGUACGACUGAAAAUAAACACGAUUUGUGCUUC